GACGAACGCUGACGGCGUGCUUAACACAUGCAAGUCGAACGGAAAGGCCCUGCUUUUGUGGGGUGCUCGAGUGGCGAACGGGUGAGUAACACGUGAGUAACCUGCCCUUGACUUUGGGAUAACUUCAGGAAACUGGGGCUAAUACCGGAUAGGAGCUCCUGCUGCAUGGUGGGGGUUGGAAAGUUUCGGCGGUUGGGGAUGGACUCGCGGCUUAUCAGCUUGUUGGUGGGGUAGUGGCUUACCAAGGCUUUGACGGGUAGCCGGCCUGAGAGGGUGACCGGCCACAUUGGGACUGAGAUACGGCCCAGACUCCUACGGGAGGCAGCAGAGGGGAAUAUUGCACAAUGGGCGGAAGCCUGAUGCAGCAACGCCGCGUGCGGGAUGACGGCCUUCGGGUUGUAAACCGCUUUCGCCUGUGACGAAGCGUGAGUGACGGUAAUGGGUAAAGAAGCACCGGCUAACUACGUG
Molecule: ribosomal RNA, 468 nt
Filed under: uncultured bacterium
Lineage: Bacteria
Description: partial 16S ribosomal RNA
Rfam family: Bacterial small subunit ribosomal RNA
Source: RNAcentral